This is a long non-coding RNA of Sinocyclocheilus anshuiensis, 610 nucleotides long. RefSeq lists it as uncharacterized. NCBI's taxonomy places the organism in Eukaryota, Metazoa, Chordata, Actinopteri, Cypriniformes, Cyprinidae. The record is from RefSeq and is a predicted model, not a curated record. The transcript has 3 exons.
GCUGUGGCGGGACAAUCGUCCAGAUUAUCUUAAUGUUCAGCUCUACCUCAGUAACACUCAGGGAUUACAGAGCAUCAGUGAGGAACGCUACCGUUUCUUGAGCUCCAGGCUUCGGAUUGGUCGACCAGAAUGGAAACUCCUUUUCCAGGAAAUAGGGAGAGCCAAUCAGCUUAAAAGAGUGGGGGUUUUCUGCUGUGGACCCAAAGGGAUCUCUAAAGCGUUACACACUCUGUGCAAUUCAAACCCACACACAGGAACUGCAUUUGAGUACAACAAAGAGUCCUUCAGCUGAGGACGCAAACAAACCCAUCGUUUAAUGCCAAAUAAAAAGCCAUUAGAGUCUGUUUCUGUCACUGAGGAAUGAAGAUAAGAGAGGACAAAUGUAGAUGAAGAUGUCUGGAAUUCAUGCACAGCAUCCUUAUCUAAAAAUGAAUCCUCAGACGAAGGGACGGAAAGCCGGUAAACAGUGUAAUGAGAUGGUAAACUUGCACAGUUGCAUUCAGGGAAUAUUUGAGAUUCUGCAUGUAGAGUUUGUCUACAUGAACCCUUGAUAGACCUUUACAGGAACAGCUCACCCAAAAAUUUUAAUUUGCUGAAAAUGUCCUCACCC